This is a non-coding RNA of Phrynosoma platyrhinos (Desert horned lizard), 72 nucleotides long. The record is from the annotation of a GenBank genome assembly. Lineage: Eukaryota; Metazoa; Chordata; Lepidosauria; Squamata; Phrynosomatidae.
GCCAGUGUUGUGUAGUGUUUUGACCACUGGACUAUGACUCUGGAGACCAGGGUUCAAAUCCCAGCUUGGCCA